GCCUACACGGCCGUGCACUGCGUGCGGCUCGAGGACAAGGACCGGCCGGCGAUGGCCAACAUCGUGGCCAACCUGGAGACGGUGUUCGCGCUCUGCGAGGGCAACGCGGGCGGCAGCCGCGGCGCCACCACCGGGGGCGGCUUCGGCAACAGCUCGUCCAGCGCCAGCCUCUCCAUGACGUUCAUGGAGCUGUCGGGAAGGCUCACGGAGUAG
This 213-nucleotide ribosomal RNA is filed under the name Triticum aestivum (bread wheat). RNAcentral describes it as "partial small subunit ribosomal RNA". Lineage: Eukaryota; Viridiplantae; Streptophyta; Magnoliopsida; Poales; Poaceae. The record is from RNAcentral.